NGACCUCAGAUCAGACAAGACUACCCGCUGAAUUUAAGCAUAUUAAUAAGCGGAGGAAAAGAAACUAACAAGGAUUCCCCCAGUAACGGCGAGUGAAGCGGGACCAGCUCAAACUUAAAAUCUCGUUGCUUGCAACGGCGAAUUGUAGUCUCGAGAAGCGUUUUCAAGGCGAAUGCGCAGUACUUAAGUUGCUUGGAACGGCACAUCGUAGAGGGUGACAAUCCCGUACGUGGUACUGUGCAUCGCUCAUGAUGCGCUUUCUAUGAGUCGGGUUGCUUGGUAAUGCAGCCCAAAAUGGGAGGUAAACUCCUUCUAAAGCUAAAUAUUGGCACGAGACCGAUAGCGAACAAGUACCGUGAGGGAAAGA
Molecule: ribosomal RNA, 367 nt
Filed under: Forskalia edwardsii
Lineage: Eukaryota; Metazoa; Cnidaria; Hydrozoa; Siphonophorae; Forskaliidae
Rfam family: Eukaryotic large subunit ribosomal RNA
Source: RNAcentral